UAUCUGUCUGUCUGUCUGUCUGUCUGUCUGUCUGUCUGUCUGUCUGUCUGUCUGUCAUCUAAUCUGAUCUGUCUAAUCUAUCUAUCACCGCUGUUCUCCUGGCCGGCAGGAGGCGGUAGAGCUCCUUCUGCUGAUUCACUCCUCUGUAUUAUUCUACACUGCUCUGUUCACUGUAUGAGCGAAGCGGAUCCUCUGCGCUUUGUUUACUGUGUUAAAAGGGCUUAUUAAAGAAGAACAGCGGGGUUUAACAGCAGGAAAAUGACUAAACUGGACCGUUUAAACUCUUUUCUGUCUGAGCGGCUGUCGGCCGCGCUGAAUGAGAUUAUCUACACGGUGAGCAUGACGAUGAAAGAGUACGAGGAGGAAACGGCGCGGAUACGGAAAGAAAACGACUAUCUGAAGGAAAUGCUAAAGGUUACAGGAGGAAGCGCAGCAGAGGAGAACCCGGGUGUGGUCAACUCUGCUGUGGUCUCCCCCAUGACUCAUGGACAGCAGGACCUCAACCCAAGCCUGGAGCAGGAAACAGAGACCCAGGAGAGCCAGAAUGAGCACCGAGGCCUAAAGGAAGAAAACUGUAGCAUCAUCAAAACAGAGCAGCCCUGCCCUUACCCUUCAGAAGCUGACGCAGAGCCUGAGACCAGGGAUGCCUCUGCCACACAGACAGACUACACCAUCGACCAGCUUCAGUCUAACCCUCACUCAAACACACAGGCUGUCGAUCAAGAGAUAAUUGACUAUGAGUUCCCAGCAAAGAUCAAAACAGAGUUAGUUAACACAGACUCUCAUUCAGAUAGCGCUACAACGAACAUUGCAGACACAGCCCGACGGGCCUGGUCUCCACACAACUGGGAUAUAAUUCCAGAAAUAAACGACCAAAAUAGGCUACAACAAGCGGCUGCGUUUCAGCAGCUGUGUAGUAGUAUUGACGGACCUCCCUCUGCACAGCCUGGCCAACACAACAGACCGGUGGAGUUUCGAGCAGCGUUCAGCUACACAAACCGCGUCAUUUGCAAUAACACACUGCACUGUACCAGCAGACACUGUGAAAUGCAGAAGAGGACCAUAGCUAAAUCCAGUCCUGUGUGGAAGUAUUUCUCUCUGAAAGAGGGCGACUGCAGCAAGGCAGUGUGUCUCAUGUGCCAGGCAGUGAUUUCUCGUGGUGUUAAAGAGUACACAACGUCUGCUCUGUUAAAACACCUGCGAAUGAAACAUGGCAAAUGUUGAUGUUCAGAUUUUUCCUUAAGAUUUUUUUUUUACUGGUAUAAGUAUUGCAAAAAAAAUAUUUGGAAAUGAACUGUAUUUAAUUCAAAAUUAUGUCUCAGCUGUAAAAUACAUUUUUCAUAUGUUGCUAAUUUCUUAAAAAUCCAUAAUUAUUUGUUCAUGUAAACAAAGUCUAAUAUGCUAAUUCCAGAGAGAAGCCCAGAGGUAAUCAUUUUAAAAACCCACUGUGAAAAUUCUAAACACACCCCCAGAUUAAAGGUUCCAUAGAAUGGAUCAUUUUAUUUUACUUGGCAAAGUUUAGAAAUUAGAAUUAAGUACAUGGAAGUGACAUCCCAUGAGCUAACGCUGCACAAUUUAUUGUUUUAGCAUCUUAAUUGCAAUGGGUGCAUGCACAAUAGUCACAUCGCAGGAUGUGCAAUGUUGCGUAAGUCAACUCAUUUUCUAUCUACCAAUAACUAGAUUAUACCUGUCUAAUAUCAUUUUAAAUCUGCAUAUCACCAAAUUAAAACCCUGAACUGUAAUUUAACCUCUUUUAGCCUCUUCUUUGUAGUGUAUUUUUUUUCUGCCUCUUUUGUAGUCAGUUUACGUAAACAUUCAUUCCCAAUAUGUGCUUUAUUAACAGUGGUAAGCAUAACUUUACCUGACUGUGGUAGACAUGAGAGAUGUGCAGUCUGGGUUUCUGUGGGAGAACCAAGUCUUGCGACUGCUGCUGCGUAAGCAGGCAUCUCUAACCUGUUUUAUAAAUUUCUUGUGAUGAUGCUGUAAAAUCAGCUAUGGCUAUGCUAACACUGUGGUUGUAAAAAAUAAUUGACAUAUUAAAGUUUUACAAUAUUACCUUCUGCAAUUCUGUAUCGAUUUUCAAAAAUAUAGCAUCGAUUUUAAAAGUUUACAUUAUAAGUGGCAGACACUGACUCUGUGAUCUCUAGAUAGAUUGUUUUUGUGAUCCUACUGUUCUAAUUGGAUGUAAAGUUAUUUAUUUUUCACUCAGAUUUUAUAAAUAUGAUGGUGUGUUUUUAUACCAUAACAAUUUUCCCCCUCAAAAUUUUAAUAUAUAUCGUCUUGCAUACAGUACCACAAUAUAUCUCAUUAUAUUGGACCUUAACCCCUAUAUCAGGAUCUGUAUCAUAUCGCCAGAUUUUUGCCAACCUUAGUGGAUUCUGUGUGAGCCAUAAAUGAGUCAUAAAUGCCAAUCAGUGAAGGGCUCAUCAAAUUUUCAUAACUUUACCAUAAAAAAAGGGAAAUCAACAUGUUUUGUUUUAGGGCCAACUCAUCCCUGUCUAGGUAUGUUUAUUUCCAACCAAAAUCACAUACCUUCUUGUCAUACAUCAAAACAUUUUUAAAAACUUUAAAACAUUGAAUAAAUGCAUUCUAUGGUACCUUUUAAGAGAAUAA
Molecule: long non-coding RNA, 2613 nt
Filed under: Astyanax mexicanus (Mexican tetra)
Lineage: Eukaryota; Metazoa; Chordata; Actinopteri; Characiformes; Acestrorhamphidae
Description: lncRNA (ENSAMXG00005012773.1)
Source: RNAcentral